AAAAUUUUGCCCUUUUAGUAUUUGUCCAGCAGGGUCCUGUAAUGUUCAGGACUCCAUC
This is a small nuclear RNA of Ictalurus punctatus (channel catfish), 58 nucleotides long. Its record names the gene U7. It matches the Rfam family "U7 small nuclear RNA". From Rfam's summary of the family: Animal histone pre-mRNAs are spliced by a different mechanism than nuclear pre-mRNAs and self-splicing introns. This processing involves the U7 snRNP, which contains only one RNA species: U7. The 5' end of U7 RNA is thought to base-pair to a conserved spacer element downstream of the cleavage site in histone pre-mRNA. The record is from Ensembl. NCBI's taxonomy places the organism in Eukaryota, Metazoa, Chordata, Actinopteri, Siluriformes, Ictaluridae.